This is a long non-coding RNA of Meriones unguiculatus (Mongolian gerbil), 2629 nucleotides long. RefSeq lists it as uncharacterized. Lineage: Eukaryota; Metazoa; Chordata; Mammalia; Rodentia; Muridae. The transcript is spliced from 3 exons. The record is from RefSeq and is a predicted model, not a curated record.
GUUCUUAGGGUAGGACAGUUAAAGCCAGGUCUCCCCACACCUCUCCAGAGGCCACAUUUGCAGCCUGCCACUCUAUUCUGAACCUGCUCCCACCUCAGACCAAGGCCAACCACCUCUCCAUUCUUCUGCUCUCACCCGGCUCGUGGAACCCAAAUGACCUCAUGCAUUCAGCCUUUAUCAAACACAAACCAGCCCUAUCCUGCUCCCACUGGAGCUACUGAAACAGACCUGGCCUGAGGCAGGAAUAGACAGCUUCAGGGACAAAGCCUUUAGAAGUCCUGAGUUCAUUUCCCAACAACAACAUGGUGGCUCUUUACCAUUUAAACCCUCUACUCCCCUCUUCUGGCCUGCAGAUGUACAUGCACAUAGAGCAUUGAGAAUAAAUAAAAUCUUAAAUAAAGAAAAAAAAGAGUUGAGGGCCAGCCAGAGAUAGUUCCAGGACAGCUAUGGCUGUAGAAUGUGUGGUGUUAUAAAUUAGUAAAUCCCAGGCCCAGAAAGAUGGAGAUCCAGCCAAAAGGACCUGGGCAUAAUCCUUUGUGCCUAAAGAGCAAGGGUCACUUAGCAGUGUGGCUCCCCUCCACACCAACUCUUGCCAAACCCCCCCAUCACUGUCACUCCUCCAUCAGCUCACCAAAGGUACCAGACUUCUCCUGUGUGGGCAUCAGAGACUUACUACCCACAGCAAAGCUUGACUGCGACAGUGCCAGAAGGUAAAAAUAGAGCUGGAAGCCUGCCUGGUCCUGUGUCCACCCUUAGCCCUCCCCAACCCUAAGUCUCUGCCCAGGCAGCCAGGAGCCACUCACUGCAUGUGUCUUUUGAAGACUUCUGAAGACAGCCCAGUUCCUGUUGCUUCAUCUCAUGACCAUCCCUGACACCCUCUGGCUGGGAAGUGAUGGAGGGAUCCAAAAUGCUGGGAUGGAUUUAGGUGUGAGAGGGAUUCUCCCACAUCACAAAAUCUCAGUGAAAGAUAAUAUCGAGUAGGGUCCCAUCUUGUAGCUGUCUGAGCUGUGAAACCACGGCCAGGCCUGAGGAUUCCCUUCUCUGAGGACCCCAGAGGUCCUGAACCUGAUUGACACUUCACUUCUCUAAUGGUGGGGUGGGUAGGUGUGUGCUGAAAUGGGCUCUGAGCUGGAGACUGCCAUGGAGACCUGUUGGUAUAAUGUUCUUUUAAAAUGUAUAUGCCUUACUCUUGUUAAUUCAAAUGCUGAUUUCCCCACCCCCAACUCUCUGGUUUCAAUUUGGAUAUUGCAUUGUGAUACUCACUAUAAGCAUCCUGUCCCAACUCUUGUGUAAAGAGGACACAAAUAAAGCAACUGGAUACAACGUUGUGCAAUGGGAGGAGCCAGAGGACAGGAAAGAGGGGAGGAGCUAGAGAACGAGGAGGGGCUCCAGGAGAGGGGUACAGGAGGAGAGCAGAGCAGGAGGAGAGAGCUUGGAGGACUUGGAGCAUGAACCAGACCUAAGAUUUUACAAAAAGCAAGUAUAAUGUGGGAAAUCUAAAUGUUAGGAAACUGAGGGCAUGGAGGUUUAGGAGGGAGUAAAUAUUGCCCAGCAUUGUGUUCUAGGUUAACUAAAAACCCAGUCUCUGUGUGGUGAUUUGGUAUUAAAGCUGCUGAGGAUUAACAGCAGCGUUACAAGAAGAUAAAACAAUAGUAAAUAUUAAUAACCACCUACAACAAAUGGCGCCCAACUAAUCUAAGAAUCCACACCCUUUAAAUCAUACUUUAUCAUAAUUUGGUGGGGGGAAUAAACUCCCAGUGAUGCAAACCAAACUUAAAAUCUAAAAACUCUCAGGUCAGUUACUGUCUCUUUAAGAGAGACUCUUAAACAGGCCUUGGAGCAAAAGGCAGCCUACUGUGGGCAGACCUGAGACUUCCCUAACAAAACUAGCUGCCACUACAGUCUAACAGGAUGGAAGAAACAAUAAAACAGACUUCUUGGAGCUUGGCUGAUAAUCUAUUCUAUGGUUUUAAGACUGAAAUAAAGGAAAGUCUAGAAAUUGUAACUAUGCUUACAUUCAUAGUCCUCCAUUUAACUUUAAUCAUUGCAUUAGCCUUUUAUGUCUUCUCGAAGGCAAAGGCUUUAGAAAAGAUACUGGAACAGCACAAAGAACAACUAGAACAAUAUAAAGAAAAAUUAAAAGUCGGAAGAGAAGCAUAAAACAAGAGAUUCAAGAGAUUAUUGAACAAAACAAACAACAGGGAGAUAGGUAUGAAAUAUGGGUGCAGACCUUAAGAGAAGAGUUUAGAAUACUAAGUAAUGAAAAUACUCAGGCAGAGGCAAAAGACAAAAAUAAAGAAAGCCAACCAAAGGUGUUUAGAAAACAAACGUUGGCUUAUCCAGUCACUAUACAGCAGAAACCAGCAGAUGAUGAUCAUCCACUGAAUUAUCAUGAAGCUGAAUGGCGCCCUGUGGAAGUGCUAGAUCUGAGGAAAUUUAAGGAAAGUGUUACUAAUUUUGGAAUGCAUUCACCAUUUGUAAAACAAAUGUUGACUUCCUGGUCAAUCAAAACUAGAGUAAUCCCUAAGGAUUGGGAGGAUACGGCAAAGGCAAUAUUAGAACCUGUGCCAUAUUUACACUGGCUAUCAUGGUGGAGAGAAGAGGCUAGAGAGCUAGCACACAAAAAUAG